RNAcentral lists this ribosomal RNA (253 nucleotides) under uncultured bacterium. RNAcentral describes it as "partial 16S ribosomal RNA". It matches the Rfam family "Bacterial small subunit ribosomal RNA", at positions 524 to 776 of the family's 1533-position model. The record is from RNAcentral.
UACAGAGGUCUUAAGCGUUGUUCGGAUUCAUUGGGCGUAAAGGGUGUGUAGGUGGCGCCGUAAGUCGGGUGUGAAAUUUCGGAGCUUAACUCCGAAACUGCAUUCGAUACUGCGGUGCUUGAGGACUGGAGAGGAGACUGGAAUUCAUGGUGUAGCAGUGAAAUGCGUAGAGAUCAUGAGGAAGACCAGUGGCGAAGGCGGGUCUCUGGACAGUUCCUGACACUGAGACACGAAGGCCAGGGGAGCAAACGGG